UGUUUAAGACAGACACGCCCCCUUCUGUAUUCUGUAAGGGUAUUCCCCGAAAUAUAAUGCGCAGCGUCGCCUGUCACGAUUAAUGGAGACCGUGUAGAACGAAAUACCAGACUCUUGUAUUUAACUUGUGUUGAUGUUCAUUGUUGACUUGAUGUUGGCCAAUUUUUCUUCAGUGAUUCAUUCUCCAGCUUAUGAAUGAGAUUCUGGAUGUUGACCACUGCAGAUGAGGAACUGGCAAGUGAAGAAAGCAUUGUUAAAAAAUUAUGACAAACACUUGAAACAUGGAGAAUAAAGAAGACACUACCAAUGUUGUGCCGGUAAAAGCUGAUCCAGUUUCUCCCAAAGAACUGGAUUCACCAAGUGAGGCUUCAUCCAGUGGGAUAUCUUCCCAGGAAGAAUUACCUGGUGGUAACCUGAAACAGGCUGCAGAGGAUGAUCCUGAUGAUGAAACGUACCAAACCCUGCUGCAACAAGGUCUGAAGACGUUCUCUGAGGGAUCGGAGGAAUCCUCCAGGAACCCGUCAAACGCAGGAUCCCCAGGCAGAGAUGGUGGCCAAGGAGGGGUCGGGGACGAGCGGGAGGUGGGGGAUGAUGUCAGGGACGGGGCCGGUGUUGUGGGUGCUAUGAGCAGUUCAGAAUCUGAGGAUAGCAGUCUAUCCAGUCUUGCGGAAGAACAACUUAAGAAGCCACUCCCUGAGUUGCUGAGCGAUGUAGCCAAAUUUUCCUAUUCUUCACUUGUAGCUGUAUGCCUGCCAAACCUCUUUGAAAAUGAGUGGAAUAAACAGUGGAAUCUGAAGAUGGUGAAGUCUCUGAGUAAAUAUCUUCAGCUUCCGAAGCAGUCUGGAGAGACCCUGUGUCACAUGGUCAAUGAUCCUAAUCAUCAUGAACUAGCCAAUGCAGACGUAUUUACAGAAGUGCUACUGGAGGACCCCUCUCUCAUCAAGCCAGAGAUAAUUCCAAAGGAUAUCAUCACCCAAGCGUUGAAUGAUGGGACCUACGAUGCUAGGAUGAGAGUUCUGGUGAGAGAGAUCUCUAAACGUCUUAACGUUAGCUGGAAGUUAAUCCGAGCGUUUGAAAAGGGAAUCAUCGAUGUCUAUGAACAAGAGGAACAUGAACUCACCGAAGAGGAGAAGAGAGAGCGAGACAAGAAAGCAAAGUUCAGGAAAGCUAAGCGGUACGUCAUGAUUGGAGCAGCAACAGUCGGAGGAGGAGCCAUCAUAGGCCUAACAGGAGGGUUAGCUGCCCCUCUCAUAGCAACGGCAGGAGCAGCGUUGCUGGGUACGAGUCUCAGUUUCUUUGGGACCGUAGCGGGGGCGGCGAUCAUCGGCUCAAUCCUAGGUGCCGCCGGAGCAGGGCUGUCAGGAUACAAAAUGAAGAAGCGAGUCGGGGAGGUAGAAGAGUUUGAAUUCACUGCUUUGACAGAAGGAAGGGAUCUCCACGUAACCGUUGCUGUCUCUGGUUGGCUGCAGAAAAAACAUCUAGAUAACUUCACCGUACCUUGGCGGUGUGUCGCGACCUGCAAUGAGAUCUACUGCUUGAAGUGGGAAUCAAAAUACUUGAUAGAGCUCGGUGAAGCACUGGAGUACAUUCUUGACACAGUCAUGACUAUGGCCGCCAAAGAGGCUCUUAAAUACACUGUUCUUUCAGGUCUGCUUGCAGCGAUAGCCCUACCAGCAGCAGCGUAUGCUGCCAUUUCAAAUUCAAUUGAUAAUCCAUGGAGCAUUGCUACUAGUAGGGCAAGUGAAGCAGGCAAGCAGCUAGCAGAGGUUCUGUUGUCAAGACAACAAGGUAAACGUCCAGUGACUUUGGUGGGCUUUAGCAUGGGGGCAAGGGUCAUAUUCUUCUGUCUGAAAGAGCUCUCUGUACGCAAGGGCAGUGAAGGAAUCGUACAAGAUGUCUACCUCUUGGGGGCGCCGGUCACAUCUUCCGUUGCCCAAUGGAGGCCUUUUGCCAGAGUAGUAGCUGGGCAUAUUGUGAAUGGCUUUUGCAGGGGUGAUUGGUUAUUACAGUUUGUGUACAGGACGGCAUCCAUGCAGGUCAGUGAUAUUGCUGGUUUAGAACCAGUUAGAUGGGACAACAGACGGAUGGUCAAUGUGGAUCUUACUGAUGUGGUCACAGGUCACCUAGACUACUCAGGCAAGAUAUCCACCAUCCUAGAUUACGUUGGCUUGGAAACCAAAGACAGCCCUACCUCUGGAAACCUCUCCGAUCUUACCAAGCCCAAAACCAAAGAUACAGAAAAGACCAGUGAGGACCAGGAACCCCUCGCCGUCAAGUUCGAUGCAAGCGAUCUUCUUCUGCCGAAGAGUGGGUCGGCGAUGGAUCUUGCCCUCUCUAAAUUGACAGUGUCAAAAGGUCAUUCACCGGAUGAGGUUUGUGUAGAUUUAUCCUCUCUAUUCAGACAUGACAAGCCAAAUUAUCGCUUUUUUAUGAAUGUAACUUUAAUAUGCACCUCUACUUGAGUUACAUUUUUAAUAAAAAUGUGUGUAGACAGACACGAGCAAUCCAAAUUUUAAAAAAAUGGACUAGUCCACAGCUUUUUUGUCCAAUCAUAUCCCAUUGACUUUGAUUUAUACAUAAAAUGGCUUUAGCAAUGGUCAUGUGAUGUUCCAAUAAAACUGUAUACCUUAAUGUGUGUGUGUACAUUCAUGUCACUUUGUUUAGAUUUGUUGAUUUUCUCCAUUCCUUGUUUUUCUUUUCUCUUUUACAAAAUGUAUUAAAAGCAUACAAGACAUGUCUGUCCAUGAAUUUAAAAAUGAAUAUGUUUGUGUUAGAGAAAUUAUUUUAGUACUUGAUUAAUUGAUUGAGUAAAUGCGAAUAGUCUGGAUUUUCCAUCUAGGACACAGACUCUAAGCCCAAGACGCUUGCCGAGAAUGUAGCCGCCUCCUGCUCGCCAGAAAAGGUUGCCAAGGAUAGAGGGAGCCCUUCUGUUGGACCGACAGCAACCGACAACAGUAGCUGCAAGGAUGAUGCCAACCAGACAAGGAAGGUAGCGUCGUCAGAAGAUGAAUCUUAUCGAGGAGUAGAAGGGGGUGCAGGAUUGAGGGAUGGUAGGAUUGAAGAUGAAGGAAGGAAAGAUACAGAGGAAAUGAACAGAGGUGGUGUGAGAAAAAGAGAGGAAAUUGAGGUUGGCGAGGAUCCACUGAGUCUUCUAUCAGAUUGAGAUGUGUGGUUGGAUUUACUCUCAGACCAGGAGGGUCAAGGGUCAAGCAGGGAACUCAGAAGGGGGUUGAUAUAAUCUGCUUGCAAAGGUACAUAUGAAUGACUGGUAUUCAAAGUGCCAAAGUGGUGAGCCCCGAAUUCAUGACUUUUUGAAAAUAUAGAUAAUAAAAUGGGAAGUGUGCGAAGGAGAGAUAAAAUAUGUUUGAAGUUAAUUUCAAACAUAAGGGCCAGGAGGGAAACUAUUAAGAGCCAAAUCUUAGAUGGUAACCAUUUAGUCUUGUUAUUAAACCAAUAGAUGUUGUUCAUGCCUCCAUCAUGAAACCAUGAUAUAUUUCUUUCUUGCCUUCCUCUAAAGUCAUUGUUAUUCAGUUGUAUGAUACAAAAUACCAAUUGCAGGGAUUUCCCCAUUCAAAUCAAGUCUUUCUUUACAUAUGUAUGUAAUGAUCACUAUUAUUCAAUGGUUUCGAAAAUAUGGGGCAAUUCUGGUAAUUUUAAGAUAAAUGUCAGUCGUGGUAACAAUUUAAAAAUGAGUUCGAACAGAAACCAAUGAAAGGACCAUCUGACUGUUUGUACACGUUUGCAUGAAUGAAGGAAAAUGUGUGCCAAAUGGAUUCUGUUAGAAAAUGUGUGUAAAUUGCUAUGAAAUGGACAAAAUAAGCAUGGCAUUCUGGCAAGAUAUAGAGUCUUUUUCUAAGUAAUAAUAAUACCUUGUCCCACAUGUGCUUAUCUGUGUUGGUGAUCUUCAGUGUGGUCAUUUCCAGUUUAGAUUUCAUGAUUUCACAGUUACAUACAUGAACCAGAUCCAUGAUGAUAUGAUGACAAUUCGGUGGAUUCCCAAUUUUGUGCGCCAUCAAUCGGUUGCAGCGGACAGACCAAAAUUUGCAAUGCCUCAUGGGAAAAAGUUGACAUUUGUUGCAUGCGCUAGUACUAAAGUGCAUGCACGUAUGCAAUUAUUCAGCGCUGGCCGACACGGCUCGACUGGAUAUGCUGUUUACUAGGGUCCAAGAGGUGGGAGAGAAAUUUGCCUGCAUAUUUCAGUGCGAAAUUUAGACCGUUUUUUGGUUAAUUCCUGCCAUAUGGUUUUCAUUUUUGAAGCAUCACAGUCACAUCCUGUGUGCGAUGUUGAUCGCAAAGUUAGACAAUUGGCCUAUUAUCUGCAACCGAUAGAUGGCACACCAUAUUGUGAAUCCACCAAAUUAUCCUUCUUUGUGAAAUUAUCCUUGAUUUGUUAAGACUCUCAUGAAAUAAGUCUUUGCUGCAACUCCAGCAUAUUUAGCUUUAAUUUUAUUAUUAGAUUUCAUUCAUGUUUAUGUUCUGUGCUACAAGAAGUAGAAAUUAAUGUUUGCACUGAAACAAAUCAAAUAUUUACAUACAAUGUACUUUGUUCCACUUGUCAGUACUGCACAGAAGGAGAAUCAACAAAUUUAAAUUCAAACUUCAAUUUCGAAACAAUGAGAAUCCUUUCAUAUACAAUGACAAACUACUGUUUUGAAUAUUUUGUGAUGUCUAUUUUGUGUUCGUACUCUUUAAGGUGUUUAUCAAAUCUCAAGAAUUCUUGGUUUUUCUUCACAUUUAGGUGAUUCUUAUAAAUGUAAAUAUAUUUUUUAGUCAGGCUGUGCAAUAUUUUCUACAAUGGUGUAAUUUUGAGGUUGUCUUUGAAAAUCUUGCUCCACAUUCUUUUUUGAAAUUUGUUUUUCAGUUUUUCAUCCAGUGACCAAAUGAACUUUCUCCAUUCUUGUGUCACUUUUUUGUUCUUAAAUGAAAAAAUAGAACUGUGCUGAAUUCUUUACUAUAUUUAAUGAUAUAAAUUGAAAACUGGAAAUAGAAUCAUUGCAGAGUUUUUUGUUCAAAAUUAUUUUUACUUAUAUUUUCUUCCAGACUUUUGUAAAACUGCUUUCAUCGAAAGUGUGCACCUUUAUGUUAAUUACAGUACUUUUUUGCAAGACUUUUUUUUAACAAAGUGGAAAGUAUCAUGAUGUUGUUUAGAAUCUGAAAUAAGUAAUGUCAGGUUGUGCUUUUUUAGUUGUUUGGAUGGAAAUAUCCAAUAUAAUUUUUGCUCAAAGAAAUUUUUAAACUCUACAAAUAUCUUUAUCACAUUCUAUCAUUGACAUGGUGGUGGGUUGGUAAUAAGAUAAAAUUUAUUUUACUAAAGCAUAUAGAGGAUUAGUAUAAUAUGUAUCUGAUAUUUCAUUGUAAUUAGUCUUGUGUAAUAUAAUUGGAAUUAAAUUAUUAAUUUU
Lytechinus pictus (painted urchin) is the source of this 5399-nucleotide RNA transcript. It is a transcript of the gene named transmembrane and coiled-coil domain-containing protein 4-like, with no coding region annotated. The transcript has 14 exons. NCBI's taxonomy places the organism in Eukaryota, Metazoa, Echinodermata, Echinoidea, Temnopleuroida, Toxopneustidae. The record is from RefSeq and is a predicted model, not a curated record.